Molecule: long non-coding RNA, 467 nt
Organism: Carassius auratus (goldfish)
Lineage: Eukaryota; Metazoa; Chordata; Actinopteri; Cypriniformes; Cyprinidae
Exons: 3
Source: RefSeq, a predicted model, not a curated record
UUGUAAAAAUCAACGCAUUUCAGAAGGUGGGGCAUAGAGGAGAAACAAUAAUGUACAGUAUGUGGAAGUCUUAAGGCUUUCUGGGGAACAGAGGAGGGAGUGAGGAUGUAAAGAUGUGAUGGCUGUGAAGCACAGAGCAGGGGUUGUGGAGGUGGUUCUGACCCUCAGGAUGCCCUCUCUGUGCCCUGCAGGAGAAUCUGGACUCUGCUGCUUUUGGCACAUGAUGUGACAGAACAUCUACCUGGUCCUGGAAGAUUUGCUUGGCUAUGGGAAUUUGGACCAAGAUCAAGAGAAACAACCAUAACCACUCCUAAAGAAACCACUCAAAAACAGCAUCUGGACAUCCUGCAGGUGUGGGUGGAUUACCUGGUCUCCAGUGCUCUCCACGGGAUUCAACACCCACCCCAUCCGCUGCCUCAGCCGGGUUAGACCGCUGCCAGCAGUGGGUGGUUCACCACAGACCUCCA